This 391-nucleotide small RNA is filed under the name Pongo abelii (Sumatran orangutan). RNAcentral's name for it is "retained intron". Lineage: Eukaryota; Metazoa; Chordata; Mammalia; Primates; Hominidae. The record is from RNAcentral.
AACUUGAAGAAGUAAAAACUUCAGCCUUGGACAAAAACACUAGCAGAACUAUUUAUGAUCCUGUACAUGCAGCUCCAACCACUUCUACGCGUGUGUUUUAUAUUAGUGUAGGGGUUUGUUGUGCAGUAAUAUUUCUUGUAGCAAUAAUAUUAGCUGUUUUGCACCUUCAUAGUAUGAAAAGGAUUGAACUGGAUGACAGGUAUUGUACAUAUUUUGGGAAAGAAAAAAAUGAAAGCAGUUAUUUGUAUAUAUGUGGGAGCCCAUACACAUCGGUGCGCAGUGGUGCAGGGGAAGGAGGGAGGAUGACUAAGCCCCAGCCAAAGGAAAAAUAAGAUGACCUAAUCACUGUCUCUGGUUUCUCUGAUUUUAUUUUUAUUUUUUAAAAAUUAAG